Molecule: regulatory RNA element, 69 nt
Rfam family: L2-Alphaproteobacteria ribosomal protein leader
Source: Rfam
GGGGACCUUCGGGGCCCUAUAGCUAAACAGCCGGGCCCAAACCGCCCGCAAAGCAACGGAAGACAGAAA